This 488-nucleotide ribosomal RNA is filed under the name uncultured bacterium. Its description in RNAcentral is "partial 16S ribosomal RNA". It matches the Rfam family "Bacterial small subunit ribosomal RNA", at positions 30 to 507 of the family's 1533-position model. The record is from RNAcentral.
AUUGAACGCUGGCGGCAGGCCUAACACAUGCAAGUCGAACGGUAGCACAGAGAGCUUGCUCUCGGGUGACGAGUGGCGGACGGGUGAGUAAUGUCUGGGAAACUGCCCGAUGGAGGGGGAUAACUACUGGAAACGGUAGCUAAUACCGCAUAAUGUCGCAAGACCAAAGAGGGGGACCUUCGGGCCUCUUGCCAUCGGAUGUGCCCAGAUGGGAUUAGCUUGUUGGUGAGGUAAUGGCUCACCAAGGCGACGAUCCCUAGCUGGUCUGAGAGGAUGACCAGCCACACUGGAACUGAGACACGGUCCAGACUCCUACGGGAGGCAGCAGUGGGGAAUAUUGCACAAUAGGCGCAAGCCUGAUGCAGCCAUGCCGCGUGUGUGAAGAAGGCCUUCGGGUUGUAAAGCACUUUCGGCGGGGAGGAAGGGGAUACGGUUAAUAACCGUGUUGAUUGACGUUACCCGCAGAAGAAGCACCGGCUAACUCCGUG